Molecule: ribosomal RNA, 497 nt
Filed under: uncultured bacterium
Lineage: Bacteria
Description: partial 16S ribosomal RNA
Rfam family: Bacterial small subunit ribosomal RNA
Source: RNAcentral
GAUGAACGCUGGCGGCGUGCCUAAUACAUGCAAGUCGAGCGAACAGACGAGGAGCUUGCUCCUCUGACGUUAGCGGCGGACGGGUGAGUAACACGUGGAUAACCUACCUAUCAGACUGGGAUAACUUCGGGAAACCGGAGCUAAUACCGGAUAAUAUAUUUAACCGCAUGGUUCAAUAGUGAAAGACGGUUUUGCUGUCACUUAUAGAUGGAUCCGCGCCGCAUUAGCUAGUUGGUAAGGUAACGGCUUACCAAGGCAACGAUGCGUAGCCGACCUGAGAGGGUGAUCGGCCACACUGGAACUGAGACACGGUCCAGACUCCUACGGGAGGCAGCAGUAGGGAAUCUUCCGCAAUGGGCGAAAGCCUGACGGAGCAACGCCGCGUGAGUGAUGAAGGUCUUCGGAUCGUAAAAAUCUGUUAUUAGGGAAGAACAAAUGUGUAAGUAACUAUGCACGUCUUGACGGUACCUAAUCAGAAAGCCACGGCUAACUACGUG